Molecule: long non-coding RNA, 345 nt
Organism: Kogia breviceps (pygmy sperm whale)
Lineage: Eukaryota; Metazoa; Chordata; Mammalia; Artiodactyla; Physeteridae
Source: RefSeq, a predicted model, not a curated record
UGUCACAUGAUGGGAUCAUUUUAUCUACUUGGUUGUGGACGAAAGUGCCUCUUCUAUGGUGGAUGCCCGUACCCUCACCUGAGGGCCAGCCAUUGACCACUGCCCAGAAAUCUCACCUAACGCCACUUCUACAUAAAACUAUGAGCAGGGCAAGGAUUCAAUAUGAUGUUUACUCCAACUACAUCAUUCCCAUUUAUGCAUUUGGGAACUGAGGAAACGACAACUGGGUCUGAGGCCGACUUCCAAUCCUCUCGUUAUGACAGCACAACAAGAAUCUGAGGCAUUUGACAAUAUCACUGAGUGGACUACAGUUUUUUGAGAAACCCAGUGACUUUCUUAAUUGGA